GACGAACGCUGGCGGCGUGCUUAACACAUGCAAGUCGAACGGAAAGGCCCUGCUUGCAGGGUACUCGAGUGGCGAACGGGUGAGUAACACGUGGGUGAUCUGCCCUGCACUUCGGGAUAAGCCUGGGCAACUGGGUCUAAUACCGGACAGGAGCCAUUUUUAGUGUGAUGGUUGGAAAGUUUUUUCGGUGUAGGAUGAGCUCGAGGCCUAUCAGCUUGUUGGUGGGGUAAUGGCCUACCAAGGCGGCGACGGGUAGCCGGCCUGUGGGGGUGGACGGCCACAUUGGGACUGAGAUGCGGCCCAGACUCCUACGGGAGGCAGCAGUGGGGAAGAUUGCACAAGGGGCGCAAGCCUGAUGCAGCGACGCCGCGUGGGGGAUGACGGCCUUCGUGUUGUAAACUCCUUUCGCUAGGGACGAAGCUUUUUGUGACGGUACCUAGAUAAGAAGCACCGGCUAACUACGUG
This 465-nucleotide ribosomal RNA is filed under the name uncultured bacterium. Its description in RNAcentral is "partial 16S ribosomal RNA". It matches the Rfam family "Bacterial small subunit ribosomal RNA", at positions 28 to 507 of the family's 1533-position model. The record is from RNAcentral.